This 253-nucleotide ribosomal RNA is filed under the name uncultured bacterium. RNAcentral's name for it is "partial 16S ribosomal RNA". It matches the Rfam family "Bacterial small subunit ribosomal RNA", at positions 524 to 776 of the family's 1533-position model. The record is from RNAcentral.
UACGUAGGGUGCGAGCGUUAAUCGGAAUUACUGGGCGUAAAGCGUGCGCAGGCGGUUCGUUAAGUCAGAUGUGAAAGCCCCGAGCUCAACUUGGGAACUGCAUUUGAAACUGGCGGGCUGGAGUGUGGCAGAGGGGGGUGGAAUUCCACGUGUAGCAGUGAAAUGCGUAGAGAUGUGGAGGAACACCGAUGGCGAAGGCAGCCCCCUGGGCCAACACUGACGCUCAGGCACGAAAGCGUGGGGAGCGAACAGG